CCUAUGGGAGGCACCAGUGGGGAAUCUUGCACAAUGGGGGAAACCCUGAUGCAGCGACGCCGCGUGAGUGAUGAAGCCCCUCGGGGUGUAAAGCUCUUUCGACGGGAAAGAUAAUGACGGUACCCGAAGAAGAAGCUGCGGCUAACUACGUGCCAGCAGCCGCGGUAAUACGUAGGCAGCAAGCGUUGUUCGGAAUUACUGGGCGUAAAGAGUGUGUAGGCGGUGCUCUAAGUCUGUCGUGAAAUCUCCCGGCUUAACUGGGAGGGUGCGGCGGAAACUAGAAUGCUAGAGGGUGGGAGAGGUAAGCGGAAUUCCUGGUGUAGCGGUGAAAUGCGUAGAUAUCAGGAGGAACACCUGUGGUGUAGACAGCUUACUGGACCACUUCUGACGCUGAGACACGAAAGCGUGGGUAGCAAACAGGAUUAGAUACCCGUGUAGUCC
RNAcentral lists this ribosomal RNA (441 nucleotides) under uncultured bacterium. RNAcentral's name for it is "bacterial SSU rRNA". It matches the Rfam family "Bacterial small subunit ribosomal RNA", at positions 338 to 796 of the family's 1533-position model. The record is from RNAcentral.